Molecule: ribosomal RNA, 468 nt
Filed under: uncultured bacterium
Lineage: Bacteria
Description: partial 16S ribosomal RNA
Rfam family: Bacterial small subunit ribosomal RNA
Source: RNAcentral
GGCGAACGCUGGCGGUGUGCUUAACACAUGCAAGUCGAACGGCAAGGCCCUGCGUUUGUGGUGUGCUCGAGUGCCGAACGGGUGCGUAACACGUGUGCAACGUGCCCUUGUCUUUGGGAUAACUUAAGGAAACUGAGGCUAAUACCGGAUCGGAGCUCCUCCUGCAUUGUGGGGGUUGGAAAGUUUCGGCGGUUGGGGUUGGAUUCGCGGCUUAUGGGCUUGCUAGUGGGGGAGUGGAUUACCAAGGCUUUGACGGGUAGCCAGCCUGAGAGGGUGACCGGCCACAUUGGGACUGAGAUACGGCCCAGACUCCUACGGGAGGCAGCAGGGGCGAAUAUUGCACAAUGGGCGGAAGCCUGAUGCAGCAACGCCGCGGGCGGGAUGACGGCCUUCGGGUUGUAAACCGCUGUCGCCUGUGACGAAGCGGGAGUGACGGUAAUGGGUAAAGAAGCACCGGCUAACUACGUG